This 129-nucleotide ribosomal RNA is filed under the name uncultured Herbaspirillum sp. RNAcentral's name for it is "partial 16S ribosomal RNA". The stretch from base 15 to 129 matches the Rfam family "Bacterial small subunit ribosomal RNA", at positions 548 to 663 of the family's 1533-position model. Lineage: Bacteria; Pseudomonadati; Pseudomonadota; Betaproteobacteria; Burkholderiales; Oxalobacteraceae. The record is from RNAcentral.
AUGCCGCGAUUAUCGGAUUACUGGGCGUAAGCGUGCGCAGGCGGUUUUAUAAGACAGAGGUGAAAUCCCCGGGCUCAACCUGGGAACUUCCUUUGUGACUGUAAGGCUAAAGUGUGUCAGAGGGGGGUA